UCACCCAAUCAAGUAGGCUUGGCUUUUAUUUUUGAAUACAUUUUUUAAACCAAGAAGGCUUUGACUUUUUUCCUGUAAAAUCCAACUUCGGCUACCCAGGAACAUUAUUCCACAAAAUCAGUAUUCAGCUCCCUUUCAAGUAAUUAACAACUAUUUUCCCUUUGGCAUCUUUUAUUUUUAAUCCAAAUUUAUAGUUAAAUUUUUAAAAACAUUUUUAUUUUUUCAUGUACUAAAAAACAAAGAUGUGGAGCUGAUAUUGUAGGACGCAGGCCGAGCUUCUCCAUGGCCAGAACACGCUACAGGGCUUUGGGCUUCUUUUGAUUGGAAGAUCUGCCUUAUAUUCUCAAACCGAGAAAAGGAUACACAAGAAGGAUCAGCUGCGAAUCGGACCAGGCUUGAAUCUUUGGCGUCGUCACCGGAUGUAGCUGCAGCUCCAACCGAUGAAGCUGCCAGGGAAAUACCAGAGGAAACUGAAGGAAGCGAGAUUUCUGCAACAUUAAAGGAUAUGCUUGGCAUCCGUCGGCUCUGCUUCUUUUGUCAGCAACAGCGUCAUACUUUUAAGGAAGAUGUGACCCGCCUUCGACCUCUAACUUGUGGUCGUAGUUUCCCCUAUCGUAUGCCUUUCCAAUCGCAUCGAGCCAGCGAUAUUGGCAGCUCUCCUGGUGCCGGCGUUGCAGUCGCUUGCCCUGUAGAGCAAGUGUCCUUUGAACGGCAAUGGACGUCUUGACGGCGAAAAAAUGCUCAAUAUCGAGCACUUGGUUAUCGCCAAGAUAGGCCCCACAGUCGAGCAGUAGCCCUAAUCUGGAUCGGGCACCUCUUGGCACACCUUGCAGAGCAUCUAUACAUUAGUUUCCAGCAACCAAAAGGAAAAUCUUCCCAGAAUUUAAUCCUGGUCCUUGCAUUUGGGAACUAAAGGAUUGACAUUAUUCGUUCGUCUAUUUAAUUUAAACAUUUUGUACACUCUUGGGAUAAUUAUUGUAGACUGAUAUUAAACAUUUUUAUUCUGAA
Molecule: long non-coding RNA, 1008 nt
Organism: Drosophila ananassae
Lineage: Eukaryota; Metazoa; Arthropoda; Insecta; Diptera; Drosophilidae
Exons: 2
Source: RefSeq, a predicted model, not a curated record